RNA transcript from Spodoptera frugiperda (fall armyworm), 1180 nucleotides. RefSeq lists it as uncharacterized. The transcript has a single exon. Lineage: Eukaryota; Metazoa; Arthropoda; Insecta; Lepidoptera; Noctuidae. The record is from RefSeq and is a predicted model, not a curated record.
CUGAGAAUAAAUUUGUAUUUGCUGAAAAGUUUUUAAAUUUAAUUUUAUCUUGAAUUAACACUUCAGAAGUGGGAUAUUUUCGAAAUGUGUGGACCUUACAUGGGAGGAUUGGGGAAACGACAAAGAAACUACAGUAAGACAAAAAGUUCAUGGAUAAUGGAUUUUUUUUCGGAAGACGAUGAACAACGCACGAAGGUCAAAACAAGACACGUUGCCCUUCGUGAUGCUGAAGUCAUACUAAAAUUUCUAUGAGGAUAGCAACAGCAAUGUGACUGGGUGGCUUCACAAAAUCGAUCACUUGGGAGAUAUUUAUGGAUGGGAUGACACUGACCGCAUAUUUAUCAUGCAACUUCGAUUACGCGGUUCCGUAAGGGAUUGGUACGACGAUCUAGAAGAAUAUAAUAUGUCGUGGGAAGAGUGGAAGAAUACACUACACACUGCUUUUCCUAGAUCGACUGAUUAUGCUGACAAACUGGAGCGAAUGCUGGCCAGAACAAAAGAAGACAAAGAGACAAUGACUAAAUAUUACCACGAGAAAUUGUCCCUACUACGAAAGUGUAACAUCUACGGUGAAAAUGCUAUUUCGUAUAUAAUUCGAGGCUUGCCGCUGGAGUUGAGGGCUAAUGCAAAGGCAUACAGUUGUGAAACUCCCGAACAACUGUAUUAUGGCUACUUAUCGGCACUGGAGAACCUGAAACCCGUGGUUUCAACCAGUACACGUAGAUCUUCAUGGGUGAGAGGAAACGCUGUGCAAUGGAACUUCAAUGGAACUUCGACUGUUCAACAACAGCCCAAGAAUUGCUAUGUUUGCCGGCGUCCAGGACACGAAGCAAAGGAUUGCAGACAACAACAGCGCUGCGAGAACUGUCGGCGCAACGGACACACCACGGCUACGUGCUGGUUUGCUCCGAGUUCUUCACGCCAUCAGCAACAAAAGGUUAGCCAUGUAAUGCAUAUAACUUAUGACAUAUUUUGUGACAUUUAUAAGAGAACUGUGAUCGUUAAUAAUCGCCAGAUAGUAGCGUACGUCGAUACUGGUAGCAAACUGAACAUUCUUUCAAUUUUGCGAGCAAAAGAUUUACAAUUAGAGAUUCAACCUAGCGCUACAGUUAUGAAAGGUUUUGGCGGCGCCUGUGUGAAUUCAUUAGGCACGUGUUAUCUAUUCUGUGUGUUGCAAUAG